UCCAUCCAGGCCUCGCCUUAUGCCUU
RNAcentral lists this non-coding RNA (26 nucleotides) under Mus musculus (house mouse). Lineage: Eukaryota; Metazoa; Chordata; Mammalia; Rodentia; Muridae. The record is from RNAcentral.